CCAUGCGAGUCGAGAGGGUUCGGCCCUCGGCAGACUGCUCAGUAACACGUGGACAAUCUACCCUUAGGUGGAGGAUACUCUCGGGAAACUGAGAAUAAUACUCCAUAGAUCUAGGAUGCUGGAAUGCACCUAGAUUGAAAGUUCCGGCGCCUAAGGAUGAGUCUGCGGACUAUCAGGUAGUAGCCAGGGUAAAGACCUGACUAGCCUACAACGGAUACGGGUUGUGAGAGCAAUAGCCCGGAGACGAUAUCUGAGACACGAUAUCGGGCCCUACGGGGCGCAGCAGGCGCGAAAUCUUCACAAUGUGCGAAAGCACGAUGAGGGGAUCCCAAGUGUUGGUUCGUAAGAGUCAUCUGUUUCUUUGUCUAAAAAACAGAGAGAGUAAGAGCUGGGUAAGACGGGUGCCAGCCGCCGCGGUAAUACCUGCAGCUCAAGUGGUGGCCACUAUUAUUGGGCCUAAAACGUCCGUAGCCGGUUUAGUUAAUGCCUGGGUAAAUUGUGUAGCUCAACUAUACGAAUACCGGGUAGACUGCUAAACUUGGGACCGGGAGAGGCUAGAGGUACUCCUGGGGUAGAGGUGAAAUUCUGUAAUCCUAGGGGGACCACCAGUGGCGAAGGCGUCUAGCCAGAACGGGUUCGACGGUGAGGGACGAAGCCCUGGGGCGCAAACCGGAUUAGAUACCCGGGUAGUCCAGGGUGUAAACGCUGCUCGCUUGAUGUUAGUCGGGCUCCGAGCCCAACUAGUGUCGGAGAGAAGUUGUUAAGCGAGCUGCCUGGGAAGUACGGUCGCAAGGCUGAAACUUAAAGGAAUU
This 812-nucleotide ribosomal RNA is filed under the name uncultured archaeon. RNAcentral describes it as "bacterial SSU rRNA". It matches the Rfam family "Archaeal small subunit ribosomal RNA", at positions 49 to 866 of the family's 1478-position model. The record is from RNAcentral.